CUUGAAUUCAUUUCAUGGGUGACAAGUAG
RNAcentral lists this non-coding RNA (29 nucleotides) under Homo sapiens (human). The record is from RNAcentral. Lineage: Eukaryota; Metazoa; Chordata; Mammalia; Primates; Hominidae.